CUAAGAACUUAUAAGAGUUAAGAAAAAAAAUUAUCUUCAAACAUCAUUACCUCUGGAAAGCUCUUCCUGACCCACAAACUAGGUUGGGUUCAUGUGCUACAAGCUCUCACAGGACCAUGUUUCCUUCAUUAGGGCAUUUAUAUCAGUGUGGAAAUGGAUGUGGACGCGGUGCUGCUGCCUGAGAUUAGCAGGAAGCAAUUCUUUUCCCAUUUGGAGAGACCCCGAUAUUACCUAUAUUGCCUUGAUCUGCUGUCUGAAGGUGGGUUUCUUUGAUUGUUUGAAGAGUUCUGGGCACUAGAGGUGCUUACUUUGUGACGGGAGCAAAUAACAAGGUGUUGCCCAUGACAUGGUCAAGCCUCUUCUUCAAUUAGCCACCUAUCUUGGGCAUGUUUUCAUAGAGAUAUAUCUCAUCCCUUUUAAUAACUGCAGAAUCUUGGACAUUUAGAGGUCUCCAAAUAUUGGUUGUCAUUUAUGGUGUAUCGUGUUUUUGUUAUUAUAAUAACGUUGCAAUAAAUACCCUAGCAACCUAUUUUUGCUUACAAGUAGAGUAUUUUCGAAGAACAAAUUCCUUCAUGUGAAACUGACGGGUCAAAAUAUAAAAGGAUUAAAGUUUCAAUAGUUAGUUAAUUGCCUUACAAUGGAAUUACAACAAUUUAUACUUCCACCAGUAAUUCAUGAACUCUGCCUUACCACAUAAUAUUUCUAAUCUUUCCCAAUCUGAUAUGGAGAAACAUGUUUUAUUAUUCUAUUUUUUUUUCACUAAAAGAGAGACUUUGAACACCCCUCCAUAUGUUUCAAAAACACUUGUAGACCAGGUGUGGUGGCUCACUCCUGUAAUUCCAGCACUUUGGGAAGUGAGAAGAUUGCUUGAGCCCAGGAGUUCGAGACCAACUUAGGCAACAAAUCUAGACAAGGGAGACCUUGUCUCUACGAAAAAAUGAAAACAUUAACUGGGCAUGGUGGUGUGUGCUGUGGUGCUAGCUGCUCAGGAGGCUGAAGAUGGGAGGACUGCUUGAGCCUGGGAAGUUGAGGCUGCAGUGAGCUGUGUGAUGGCACCACUGCACUCCAGCCUGGGCAACAGAGUGAGACCCUGUCUCAAAACAAAACAAAACAAUACAAAACAAAACUUUUUUUUUUCAGUGAAUGUUUCUUUAUAGAUUUCAACUUCUAAAAAUUGUUGGCACUUUUUUUGAUUGACUGAAGAGCUCAUUAUAUAUUAAGCAAUGUAGACUUUUUUUUUUUUUUUUUGAGACAGGGUCUCGCUCCGUCGCCCAGGCUGGAGUGCAUUGGUGCGAUCUGGGCUCACUGCAACCUCUGUCUCCCAGGUUCAAGCAAUUCUCCCCGCUCAGCCUCCUGAGUACCUGGGAUUGCAGGCACCUACCAUCAUGCCCGGCUAAUUUUUGUAUUUUUGUAGAGAUAGGGUUUUACCAUGUUGUUCAGGCUGGUCUUGAACUCCUGAUCUCAGAUGAUCUACCCGCCACGGCUUCCCAAAGUGCUGGGAUUACAGGUGUGAGCCGCCGCGCUUGGCCCAAUUUAGACUUUUUAAACCAACUUUUGAAGGUUGGUUUUUAAAAAAUAAAUGACUGGAUCAUGUUCUAACUACUCAUAGUCUCAGCCAAACACAAUUGCGGAAGGCCUAGCCAAAGGCUCUUUGCUCAGUGAAAGUCCCAUGAAUCUCAGGCACAGAGGAUAGUCUGGAAAGACCUAACCUGCACAUGCAAAUCUAUUAAGAAAGAUGAAGUCUUAGGCUUAUAUGGAGCUAAAUAAUUGCAUGUUUAAUGCAAUGCCAGGGUACAGGUAAUGGUGAUUGGAGUUGGAGGGGUGAUGUGUGUGGUGGGUGAGGAAGUCAGGGCUGAGUCCUAGGUGAGAUCUAUAAGAGUGAUGUUUAUUUAUGCAUCUGAGGGCUGGGACUCUCAUGACAGGAUUUAUUUUCAUUCUCUUUCAAGGAGAGCCAUGCUGCCUUGCUGCUUCUUGCUCGUGUACACAGAGCACUUGGUGUCUUGCGAAUCCCCUUUGACGCCGGUGCCUUUCCAGGCUUUGUUGGGCCAGGAGAUGGUUUUGCAGCAGCAGAAGACUAUGAACUGGGCUUUGGGAGAUAGGAUCUCUGGUUGUAUUCUGGCUAUCCACACUCUGAAAGAGGACCGUGACAGAGAAUUUGAGUAUCCUACCAAUAUACCUACAAAAGGAUGAAAGAAGAUUUGGAGUCAAGGGAAAACAAGGGCAAUAAAAUAGAAGCUUACCACCUGCUCUCAUACAGUUGCUAGAAGAGGACUGCAUAUUUGGUUCUAAGUUUCUGGAAGAUAAAGCCAAAAUAGAAACACAACUCAUUAUAAAAUUUUGGUGUAUCCAUAAAAUAAAAACAAAUGACCUGUUUGAGAAAACUCUUUCUGAGUUUGAGCUCUAAAAGGAACUUCUCUAUGGAAUCCUUAGAAUAUGAGAAGGCUGUGAUAUAGGGGAGAAACCCCUUGACAUUCCUAUAUUGGGUUUAGGUCUAAUUUCACUCAGUAGUUUUUAAAUGUUACUCCUUGUAGACAGAUGAUGAGACGCCAAAGUACAGCUGAGUGAAAGCGGUUCCUUUGAAAACUAAAGGCUGUAAAAACAAGGCUGUGGAUCAUGUUGUUUCAGUUCUUUAUAGAUUUUUUAAACUGAAUUUUGCAUCUGUGUACAUGAAGAAUAAAUUGUAGAAUAUCUAAGGAAAUGGAUGGGCUGCUUAUCUUUUAGAACCUCCAUAAAUUAUUUAUUGUAAGUAUGUUUGAUAAGGAUUGUACAGCUGAGAGUUCAAGGUUGCAUUUUUUUCCCCAGCAAGAACCAAAAGUGCAGAUAACAUGCAGCCAAUUAAGGACAAAUCUGUAUGGUUUGUCAAUCAAUCUGUCAGGAUGUCCCUGAAUUGUAGCACUUAUCACUUGGUAUUAUAGACAUCUGUGUCCCUGGCAUAACUGCAUCCUCUUCAAGGGCAGGAAUUGCUUCUUUUCCAUUUUUGCACUCUAGCAUCCAGCAUUAUGUUUGAGACCUAGCAUCUAUAUGAGAGACUUUGUUGAACGGAAUCAAUUGAAAGGCUUCCCAUUAUCAUGCAGUACUACUUGACAAAGAUCAGAACCCUGAGCAAUCAAGGGCAGGAAACAUAGGCUAGCUGAGCUUUGAAGGAAGUGAAAAGAAAAAGAGGCAGCAAAGAUGGGAACAUGGAGGACAGUCUGAGAAAACAAGCUCAGGGUUGAAGGGGGUGUUCCAGUGAAGGGGUGAUGAGUGGGACCUCACACAUGGAGCAGAUAACAUUGGUGCAUCAGUUGAUUUAAAUGAGCAGAAUGGAAAGUGUCUAAAAGAGAGAUGUGGAAAUGAGUAGAAACAUCCCUUUCCUGUUGGGCCAGCUAUUGUCUAUGGUUAGUCCUUUUCCCAUCCUUAUUUCCUCUCCUCUGAAUUGCAAGUUGCUGGAAACAUGAGAAGUGCAUUCCUUGCUCCCUUGGUUACUGGGCUUCAGUUAGCAUUUGCCAAUGAGGGUGAGCACUCAUGGGAGACUGGAAAGUGGUAGAAAGGGAAAGCCAUUCAGCUGGCUGUGACAGUGGCAGCAGCGGGCAGUACCGUGGGCUCCAACAGCAUUGGUGGUGGCUCCAGCAUCAUCACUGGGAGCUUGGGCUCCUGGGUUCCUGCUCAGCAGCUAUGGUCAGUACCUUCUGAGAUGGCCUCCUCUGAUCCUCACCUCUUGGUAUUCAUGGCCUUGUGAAAUCCCCUUUGCUUGAGUAACUUGCUGCCAACCAAUAGAAUAUGGCAAUGUUGAGGGUUGCUACCUUUCUGACUAGGUUGCAAAUGAUUGUGACUUCUGUCUUGCUGGCAGGCUCUCUCUAUUUGCCUUUUGGUUUGUGUGCUCUGAGGAUGCAAACUGCCAUGUUCGUGAGACCUGCAUGGCGAGGAAUUGAGGGCAGACUCUGUCCAACAGCCAGUGAGAAACUGAGGUCCAACAGCCUACACGGAGCUGAAUCUUACCAAUAACUACAUGAACUUGAAAGUGUAUCCUUCCCUUCAGAUGAGUGUAGCCUGAGUGACACCUUAACUGAAGCCUAUGAGAGGCCCUGAAGCAGAGGAAGGACCCAGCUAGCUCACACCUAGAUUUCUGAUGCAUAGAAACUGUGAGAUAGCAUGUGUUAUUUUAAGCCAGUUUUGAGAUGAUUUGUUAUACAAUAGCAAUAGAUAACAAAUAUGAUGGCAGAGCUCUGUUCCAACAGCAGUAGCAAGCGUGUGCUUGCCGACUCUGGAUCACUCCACAUUCACCUCUUUGCUUCUACAGCUAUGGGACAAUAGCAGCAGCGUCCUACAGUUGCCAAUUUCUAGGUAAUGCCAUUUUCCACUUGACCUGUGUUUUCAAAACCUUUGUCACCAUUUUCCUAUAUUAAAUUCCUUCAUAAUAACAGAAGAGUGGCUAACAUAUGCACACAACUAUUUUUCUUGAUAGGGAGAUAAAGAGAGCAUUGCUGUAUAUUAAAUGUAGUUAUGUCUUUUUAGAUGUUUAAGAAAAUGAAAUGCACCUUUUUUCAAGUGAAUAAAUGUUUGCCUCUCUGUA
This 4552-nucleotide long non-coding RNA is filed under the name Homo sapiens (human). Its description in RNAcentral is "HSALNT0072664". Lineage: Eukaryota; Metazoa; Chordata; Mammalia; Primates; Hominidae. The record is from RNAcentral.